RNAcentral lists this ribosomal RNA (1439 nucleotides) under uncultured bacterium. RNAcentral's name for it is "bacterial SSU rRNA". It matches the Rfam family "Bacterial small subunit ribosomal RNA". The record is from RNAcentral.
AGAGUUUGAUCAUGGCUCAGAACGUACGCUGGCGGCACGCCUAACACAUGCAAGUCGAACGAAGUAGCAAUACUUAGUGGCAGACGGGUGAGUAACAUGUAGGUAUCUACCCUUUGGCCUGGAAUAACACGAGGAAACUUGUGCUAAUACCGGAUAAGUCUUUACGGAGAAAGCUUUAUGCACCAUUGGAUGAGCCUGCACUUGAUUAGUUUGUUGGUGGGGUAAUGGCCUACCAAGACUGUGAUCAAUAGCUGAUUUGAGAGGAUGAUCAGCCACAUUGGGACUGAGACACGGCCCAAACUCCUACGGGAGGCAGCAGUGGGGAAUCUUGCACAAUGGAGGAAACUCUGAUGCAGCGAUGCCGCGUGAGUGAAGAAGGCCUUUGGGUUGUAAAGCUCUUUCGUCGGGGAAGAAAAUGACUGUACCCGAAUAAGAAGGUCCGGCUAACUUCGUGCCAGCAGCCGCGGUAAUACGAAGGGACCUAGCGUAGUUCGGAAUUACUGGGCUUAAAGAGUUCGUAGGUGGUUGAAAAAGUUGGUGGUGAAAUCCCAGAGCUUAACUCUGGAACUGCCAUCAAAACUUUUCAGCUAGAGUUUGAUAGAGGAAAGCAGAAUUUCUAGUGUAGAGGUGAAAUUCGUAGAUAUUAGAAAGAAUACCAAUUGCGAAGGCAGCUUUCUGGAUCAUUACUGACACUGAGGAACGAAAGCAUGGGUAGCGAAGAGGAUUAGAUACCCUCGUAGUCCAUGCCGUAAACGAUGUGUGUUAGACGUUGGAAAUUUAUUUUCAGUGUCGCAGCGAAAGCGAUAAACACACCGCCUGGGGAGUACGACCGCAAGGUUAAAACUCAAAUGAAUUGACGGGGACCCGCACAAGUAGUGGAGCAUGUGGUUUAAUUCGAAGAUACGCGCAGAACCUUACCAACACUUGACAUGUUCGUCGCGACUUUAAGAGAUUAAAGUUUUCGGUUCGGCCGGACGAAACACAGGUGCUGCAUGGCUGUCGUCAGCUCGUGUCGUGAGAUGUUGGGUUAAGUCCCGCAACGAGCGCAACCCUCACUUUUAGUUGCCAUCAUUAAGUUGGGCACUCUGAAAGAACUGCCAGUGAUAAGCUGGAGGAAGGUGGGGAUGACGUCAAGUCCUCAUGGCCCUUACGUGUUGGGCUACACACGUGCUACAAUGGUAUCUACAACAGGAAGCGAGACGGCGACGUUAAGCAAAUCCUUAAAAGAUACCUCAGUUCGGAUUGCACUCUGCAACUCGAGUGCAUGAAGCUGGAAUUACUAGUAAUCGUGGAUCAGCGUGCCACGGUGAAUGCGUUCCCGGGUCUUGUACACACCGCCCGUCACACCAUGGGAGUUGGUUCUACCUUAAGGCAAGGCUUUAAACCCUUGACCACGGUAUAGUCAGCGACUGGGGUGAAGUCGUAACAAGGUAGCCGUA